This 492-nucleotide ribosomal RNA is filed under the name uncultured bacterium. RNAcentral's name for it is "partial 16S ribosomal RNA". It matches the Rfam family "Bacterial small subunit ribosomal RNA", at positions 29 to 507 of the family's 1533-position model. The record is from RNAcentral.
AGUGAACGCUGGCGGUAGGCCUAACACAUGCAAGUCGAACGGCAGCACAGUAAGAGCUUGCUCUUACGGGUGGCGAGUGGCGGACGAGUGAGGAAUACAUCGGAAUCUACUUUUUCGUGGGGGAUAACGUAGGGAAACUUACGCUAAUACCGCAUACGACCUACGGGUGAAAGCAGGGGAUCUUCGGACCUUGCGCGAUUGAAUGAGCCGAUGUCGGAUUAGCUAGUUGGCGGGGUAAAGGCCCACCAAGGCGACGAUCCGUAGCUGGUCUGAGAGGAUGAUCAGCCACACUGGAACUGAGACACGGUCCAGACUCCUACGGGAGGCAGCAGUGGGGAAUAUUGGACAAUGGGCGCAAGCCUGAUCCAGCCAUACCGCGUGGGUGAAGAAGGCCUUCGGGUUGUAAAGCCCUUUUGUUGGGAAAGAAAAGCAGCAGGUUAAUACCCCGCUGUUCUGGCGGUACCCAAAGAAUAAGCACCGGCUAACUUCGUG